This 450-nucleotide ribosomal RNA is filed under the name uncultured bacterium. RNAcentral describes it as "partial 16S ribosomal RNA". It matches the Rfam family "Bacterial small subunit ribosomal RNA", at positions 354 to 796 of the family's 1533-position model. The record is from RNAcentral.
GUGGGGAAUUUUGGACAAUGGGCGAAAGCCUGAUCCAGCCAUGCCGCGUGCAGGAUGAAGGCCUUCGGGUUGUAAACUGCUUUUGUACGGAACGAAAAGACUCCUUCUAAUAAAGGGGGUCCAUGACGGUACCGUAAGAAUAAGCACCGGCUAACUACGUGCCAGCAGCCGCGGUAAUACGUAGGGUGCAAGCGUUAAUCGGAAUUACUGGGCGUAAAGCGUGCGCAGGCGGUUAUAUAAGACAGAUGUGAAAUCCCCGGGCUCAACCUGGGAACUGCAUUUGUGACUGUAGAGCUAGAGUACGGUAGAGGGGGAUGGAAUUCCGCGUGUAGCAGUGAAAUGCGUAGAUAUGCGGAGGAACACCGAUGGCGAAGGCAAUCCCCUGGACCUGUACUGACGCUCAUGCACGAAAGCGUGGGGAGCAAACAGGAUUAGAUACCCGAGUAGUCC